RNAcentral lists this small RNA (106 nucleotides) under Arabidopsis thaliana (thale cress). RNAcentral's name for it is "ATSL109770". The record is from RNAcentral. Lineage: Eukaryota; Viridiplantae; Streptophyta; Magnoliopsida; Brassicales; Brassicaceae.
GCACCGGAGACGACGGCGGAUUCAUCUACUUCCUCUUGAUGAGUGGUUGAUGAUGAUCGGUGGAAUCCAUUAGAGAAGGAAAAGAUUCCUUGGUGAUGAUGAUAAU